RNAcentral lists this ribosomal RNA (547 nucleotides) under Pseudomonas sp. DGP4. RNAcentral's name for it is "bacterial SSU rRNA". It matches the Rfam family "Bacterial small subunit ribosomal RNA", at positions 344 to 892 of the family's 1533-position model. Lineage: Bacteria; Pseudomonadati; Pseudomonadota; Gammaproteobacteria; Pseudomonadales; Pseudomonadaceae. The record is from RNAcentral.
GGAGGCAGCAGUGGGGAAUAUUGGACAAUGGCGAAAGCCUGAUCCAGCCAUGCCGCGUGUGUGAAGAAGGUCUUCGGAUUGUAAAGCACUUUAAGUUGGGAGGAAGGGCAGUAAGUUAAUACCUUGCUGUUUUGACGUUACCGACAGAAUAAGCACCGGCUAAUUCGUGCCAGAGCCGCGGUAAUACGAAGGGUGCAAGCGUUAAUCGGAAUUACUGGGGUAAAGCGCGCGUAGGUGGUUCGUUAAGUUGGAUGUGAAAGCCCGGGCUCAACCUGGGAACUGCAUCCAAAACUGGCGAGCUAGAGUACGGUAGAGGGUGGUGGAAUUUCCUGUGUAGCGGUGAAAUGCGUAGAUAUAGGAAGGAACACCAGUGGCGAAGGCGACCACCUGGACUGAUACUGACACUGAGGUGCGAAAGCGUGGGGAGAAAACAGGAUUAGAUACCCUGGUAGUCCACGCCGUAAACGAUGUCAACUAGCCGUUGGAAUCGUUGAGAUUUUAGUGGAGUAAAGCGAUUAAGUUGAAUGGAUGGGGAUACCGUAGCAAG